RNAcentral lists this long non-coding RNA (207 nucleotides) under Catharus ustulatus (Swainson's thrush). RNAcentral's name for it is "lncRNA (ENSCUSG00005001948.1)". Lineage: Eukaryota; Metazoa; Chordata; Aves; Passeriformes; Turdidae. The record is from RNAcentral.
CCCGAUUCCUGCCAGCAGUCACAUUCUCUGGUGUGUUCAGCUGGAGAGAACACGCACUGGGUUUUUGGAUUUGGAAGACUGUGCUCUUCUUCUGUUUUCCAUGCAAGAAACCAAUUGCUCUCAUCCCUCUGCCCUGACACUUGCUCGUUCCAGGUAACCUCUGUGUUUCACAUGCUGCUCAGGCUGUCCCAGGAAGAAGAAAUGUGA